This is a non-coding RNA of Parelaphostrongylus tenuis, 75 nucleotides long. The record is from the annotation of a GenBank genome assembly. NCBI's taxonomy places the organism in Eukaryota, Metazoa, Nematoda, Chromadorea, Rhabditida, Metastrongylidae.
GCUCCUGUAAUGUAGUGGUAGUUCGCCCUCUCCCCCUAUACGGGCGAGACGCGGGUUCAAUUCCCGCCUGAGGUC